RNAcentral lists this ribosomal RNA (401 nucleotides) under uncultured bacterium. RNAcentral's name for it is "bacterial SSU rRNA". It matches the Rfam family "Bacterial small subunit ribosomal RNA", at positions 28 to 431 of the family's 1533-position model. The record is from RNAcentral.
GUUGAACGCUGGCGGCAUGCCUUACACAUGCAAGUCGAACGGACUCAAGGGGCUUGCUCCUUGAGUUAGUGGCGAACGGGUGAGUAAAGUAUCGGAACGUGCCCAGUCGUGGGGGAUAACGUAGCGAAAGUUACGCUAAUACCGCAUACGUCCUGAGGGAGAAAGCGGGGGACCGAAAGGCCUCGCGCGAUUGGAGCGGCCGAUAUCAGAUUAGCUAGUUGGUGGGGUAAAAGCUCACCAAGGCAACGAUCUGUAGCUGGUCUGAGAGGAUGAUCAGCCACACUGGAACUGAGACACGGUCCAGACUCCUACGGGAGGCAGCAGUGGGGAAUUUUGGACAAUGGGGGCAACCCUGAUCCAGCCAUGCCGCGUGAGUGAAGAAGGCCUUCGGUUGUAAGUAC